UGAAAACCAAUGUGGUUAUGAUGUCUUGUACUGUAAAUCAUAAAUAUGUUAUAUUUAUCUCAGUAAUACUUGUGGGGAAUAUCACUAAUUAAAAUGUACUUAAUUCACAAUAAUACAACUUUUGUAUGAUGGUUAAGAAAUGUAGUUAUAGUUUAAUAUAUGAAAUUCUGAAUUUAUACUUGUACAAUUCUGCCUUUUGGAUGGUACAACUUGUGUUUGGUGGUUAAGGGAUGUCAUUAUAGUUUGAUGUAUUAAAUUCUAAAUUUUUACAAUUUUUUGUAUACAUGCUUUUUAGUUAGUACAACUUUUGUCUGAUGGUUAAAGGAUGUAAUUAUAGUUAAAUAUUGAAAUUUUAUAUAAGUUUUUAUGUCAGGAUAAUGUACUGCUAAAAUCUUGUAGCUCCUUAGUUUUGGUAUAAAGAAAUUGCAUUAGCGGAUCCGGGGGGGGGGGCUCCAGCGAUUGGAACCCCUCUUUUUUUUGGCCGAUCAAUGCAUUUGAAUGGGGACAUAUAGUUUGAACCCCCUUUGUCCUGGGUUGGGAACCUCCCCUUUUUAAAAUGGCUGGAUCCGCCCCUGAAUUGUUUUGUUUUGACUAGAUUUACAAUCUAAGCAUAAUAUUUGGGGAUGUGUGUGGGAUUAUGAUCUCAAUUCAAUUAAAUUGUUAAUUUUAGUAUCUAUACUGAUUCUUUGUAUUACAAGUGAGGUAUGCAAAGCCAGUCAACACAUGUAAUCUUGAUAUUUUUUUAAGUCUAAUCUCAUAUUUAUGUUUUUACUUUUUUAUUGUAUAUUUAUUUUUUGAAGAGCGAACUUCUCAGAGGUUAAACCCUCAUUUCCUUAGUUUUGUGAUUCCAAACGUUGUCUCCCAUAUCUUGGAAUUUGAAAACAUUGCAUCUAAUAUGAUGGUAUCUCAUAUGGCAUUUACUUAAGUUGGCCAUAGUUCUAUUUUAAAUUGAUUGCUAUGGUUCAGCAGACUGGACUUGCAUAAAAACAGUUAAAUUGUAGUAACAUUCCUGGGUACUUGAUUUAUAUAUGAUUACAGCCAUGAUUAAGAAAAUAAGAUAUUGAAAUAUUUUUGUUUUGAUUUGAUUGGUUUUGGUUGUACAAACUAUUUCCUUGUUGGGAUACUCAGCCUAUUGUAUUCUCAAAGUUGUUACUUUUAAAAACUAAAGAACAUUACUGGACAAUAUGUUUAUUAUUUUUUAUAUACAAAACUUUUUAUAAUACUUUGUUAUC
This 1232-nucleotide long non-coding RNA is filed under the name Mytilus galloprovincialis (Mediterranean mussel). Lineage: Eukaryota; Metazoa; Mollusca; Bivalvia; Mytilida; Mytilidae. The record is from RNAcentral.